Molecule: RNA transcript, 1715 nt
Organism: Physella acuta
Lineage: Eukaryota; Metazoa; Mollusca; Gastropoda; Physidae
Source: RefSeq, a predicted model, not a curated record
AAAAAAUGGCGAUGUUUCCUUUUGCUGACAACUAGGAUCUACAUCAAAUAAAAUAUGUAAAUUUAUCGCAGUAAAAAGAGGAAUAGUGUACGAUUAAAUCCUCAGAUCAAUAAAAGGAUGAACAGUCACGUGAUGCCUUUAACUUUAAUAAGUCUUUUUUGUAUCUUUGGUGUUCUUGCUUCAGAUGGUACUGAAAAACCGAUGCAGUUAGACAUGAAAAUCGAGGGAUAUGAAAAGGAGUGCGAUGCUGCCAACAACUGUGUAUACACCGGCCGAAUUUAUGGACGCGUCGCGGGCUAUUCAAACACUAGCAAGUGCUGCUACGGGAUUUUUCUGAAACAUUGCUAUAAAAACUUGGAUUGCUCCAAUUAUAGGUCUAAUUGGCAAAAUGAAUGUUUUUUCGGAGGGAACUGUAUGCAUUCUGCGUGCAAACAAAUGAGUAACGAUGAUCACUGCUACUGUGAAGAUAAGAGCUAUCCAUUCAGAUUCAGAUUCCGCCCCGAAUUCAAGAAUUCGUGGUACAUUCUUGCAGCACUUUCAUUUUACCCACGGAUUCAUACUAACCCCUAUAAUUUCAGCGAAAGAUUUGAUGUUUCAAAUCCACCAGUGGAACUGAGAAAUGAUGCAUUUUUGGCCUCCACCAACGGAAAACUCCAGCUGCAAGCAGAACCGGUCAUUAUGUUCAUGGGAGCUCUGUACGCUUUGAUCAUGUCCUUGGAAAUGACAAUCAAAGAUAUAAUUUAGUCCAACCGGGAGUAAAAAUAAUAAAAACGAGUGAAUUGUUGGCCUCCACGGAUGGAGAGCUCCACUUGCAAGGCAGGUAGAUCCAAUCAUUAUGUGUAUCGGAUUAAUGUACGCACUUGUCAAGUCUAUAGAACUACUAAACAAAGACUGGUUAUAGUCGAACGUGUGGCUGUUUAGCUUUUUAAUCAAGCAUGACUGUGGUAAUUUAGCUGCUAAAUACGUUGUUGGUUAGCUAGUUUUAUGCAAUAUGUGAUUAUUUAGCUAGGUCUAACGAAACAUGUGAUUUAAUUAAAUAUGUGAUAAUUUAGCUACUUAUGACGUUGCUGUUGAGAUAGAAUUGUUUUCAUUAUUUAUCUAGGUUUCAUAAAACAUGUGAUUGUUUAGGUUGGUCUCAUGAAACAUGUGUUUGUUUAUCUGGUUGUAAUGUAACGUGUUUGUUUAACUAAUUCUAACAUAGUGUGAUUGUUUAGCUGGUUCUCAUGACUAAUAUAAUAGGUAAUUUAUUUGACUGAGUCUUCAUCAACAACAAGAAUCCUGGCUAAUGUACUCAAAAAUAUGGUUUACUUGUAUAACAUAACAAAUUGAAAGAGGACUUAUUGCCGUUGGUUAGAUGUGUUUGAUGGAGGACGUUGGAGAGAGCUGGGGAGUAUGAAGGCUAUGACAAUAGAAUUCUUUGUUCCAUCUAAGAGUGCUUAGACUAUGCUUGAUUAUUAAACGACCUGUUACAAUCUUUUUGUGGGUUUUCUAAAAUACGAUUAUAUAUAUUUUUUUAAAUUAUUUUUUGUCGUCUUCAUGCCUUCUCAACCUAUUCCAAAUACACAGUCCACCCCACACAUUCCAAUAGGAGUUCCACACAAAACCCACCACACACAGUCCAACAAAGGUUUCACACACUUUCCCAAAACUAAACUCAAUAUACAGACGUAUAAUAACUAUUACAUAAUGAUCCCGUGCUUUAAAAUUGAUUGUUA